RNAcentral lists this long non-coding RNA (353 nucleotides) under Nicotiana benthamiana. RNAcentral's name for it is "long non-coding RNA (NBEN_LNC023301)". The record is from RNAcentral. Lineage: Eukaryota; Viridiplantae; Streptophyta; Magnoliopsida; Solanales; Solanaceae.
UGAUUCUUGAAGUUUACGAAUUUUGUAGAUAAAUUGUAGUUGAUAUUAUUUACAGUUUAUAUUUGUAGUUAUUUUGUAGUCAUGUGGAUUAGCUGUGUUAAUUAUGUGUAUAAAUUGUAGUUGCUAUUAUCUGCAACUUUAUAAAUGUAGUUAUUUUGUUUUGUGCAAAAUUGACAUUAUUUUGCACCACAUAAGUGAGGUUACAUGCAGGCUAGCAAGGAGGAAGGGUGCUUCCUCUUUGAAUGAGAAGACUGGAAUGCAUAAAAAGAAGAAAUAGUCAAUUGUUUUCCUAAUUUAGUUGCGGCAAAUUUGUAGUUGAAGAAUAAGGAUCUUCUUUUUUGGAAAAAAUCUAC